AGAGUUUGAUCCUGGCUCAGGAUGAACGCUGGCGGCGUGCCUAAUACAUGCAAGUCGUGCGGAAAGGCCACUUCGGUGGUACUCGAGCGGCGGACGGCAGAGUAACGCGUAGGAACAUACCCCAAACUGAGGCAUAACUGCUCGAAAGAGCAGCUAAUACCGCAUGUGAUCUUCGGAUUAAAGCUUCGGCGGUUUGGGAAUGGCCUGCGUCCGAUUAGCUAGUUGGUGAGGUAAAUGCUCACCAAGGGCUUCGAUCGGUAGCUGGUCUGAGAGGAUGAUCAGCCUGACUGGAACUGAGAACGGUCCAGACUCCUACGGGAGGCAGCAGUAGGGAAUUUUCCACAAUGGGCGAAAGCCUGAUGGAGCAACGCCGCGUGCAGGAUGAAUGCCUUCGGGUUGUAAACUGCUUUUAUUAGUGAAGAAUAUGACGGUAACUAAUGAAUAAGGGUCGGCUAACUACGUG
Molecule: ribosomal RNA, 463 nt
Filed under: uncultured bacterium
Lineage: Bacteria
Description: bacterial SSU rRNA
Rfam family: Bacterial small subunit ribosomal RNA
Source: RNAcentral